CCUACGGGUGGCAGCAGUGAGGAAUAUUGGUCAAUGGCCGGAAGGCUGAACCAGCCAUGCCGCGUGAAGGUCAGUGCCCUAUGGGCGUUAAACUUCUUUUGUGCGGGAGCAAUAAUGGUCACGUGUGGCCAGACGAGAGUACCGUACGAAUAAGCAUCGGCUAACUCCGUGCCAGCAGCCGCGGUAAUACGGGGGAUGCAAGCGUUUUCCGGAUUUAUUGGGUUUAAAGGGUGCGUAGGCUGGGAGGUAAGUCAGCGGUGAAAUGCCCCCGCUCAACGGGGUGAAGUGCCAUUGAUACUGCCUGGCUGGAAUGCGGAUGCCGUGGGAGGAAUGUGUGGUGUAGCGGUGAAAUGCAUAGAUAUCACACAGAACACCGAUUGCGAAGGCAUCUCACGAAUCCGCGAUUGACGCUGAUGCACGAAAGCGUGGGUAUCAAACAGGAUUAGAUACCCCAGUAGUC
Molecule: ribosomal RNA, 460 nt
Filed under: uncultured bacterium
Lineage: Bacteria
Description: partial 16S ribosomal RNA
Rfam family: Bacterial small subunit ribosomal RNA
Source: RNAcentral